Molecule: non-coding RNA, 31 nt
Filed under: Rattus norvegicus (Norway rat)
Lineage: Eukaryota; Metazoa; Chordata; Mammalia; Rodentia; Muridae
Source: RNAcentral
UGUAACUAAGACAGUGACCAGAAGCUUGUGC